This 667-nucleotide long non-coding RNA is filed under the name Olea europaea subsp. europaea. The record is from RNAcentral. Lineage: Eukaryota; Viridiplantae; Streptophyta; Magnoliopsida; Lamiales; Oleaceae.
UGGCUGUAAGGUAAAUCAUAUAUACAAAUCCAUGAACUACAAGCUGACAACAAGCCCACAUACAUUAAUGUAGUUAUGUCCAAAUAACAGCAACCCAAAGCUCAAUCAAGUUCAAAAGUUUGUUUACUCCACCAACCCCAUAAUUCAAAACGAGAUGGUAACAUUUUAUUUGGAAAAUCAUCAAAAAUGAAUAUGAUUACAUGACAUGACAUUCUACAGACACGAAAUGUUACUGGAAACAGGAGUCAUUCUUUUCCCUGGGGAACUUGAUGAUGAUAAAUCAACUGUACCAACCAUUACUUUACUGUAUAUAAGUACUUAUGCAGAAUAUAAUAUCUGAAUAUUGACAAGAAUCUUGAAGAGGUGAACAAGAAGGGUAAAUUUCUUUUGAGAUGAUGAUAGAUAUUAUUUGAUUUUAACAUAUAGACUUAUAGUAGUGCCCCCUUUCAAUCAAAGCACAAAAUUCUUUAUUAAGCUUUGAUAUUUCAGAGUCCAUGGAGCUGUUAGUUUGGCCAGUAUCAGGAUAAGUAGUCCAACUCAGUUUAAGAGUACAAUUUCUUUAUCAAGUUAAGGCCCAUUAAAUUGUUUCUACAGUGUUUUAUCCUUUAAUCUUAUAUUUUUGGAGAUGCCUUAUCAUGUCUGAUGUGGGCUGAGGAUUGGAAUCAAG